GUAUUUGUCUCCUGGGAUGCUGUGGGGUUGACCCUGGAUAGCAUUCAUGGUCAUUAGCUCAUGGUGUUCUUGGGAGACAUUUGAAGUCAGCUGGUGUCCUGCUGAUGGAGCUGCUGAGUUCAGCAUCACAUCGACAUAAUUUCGUGAUGCGUUUGCAUGAAGGGCUUUGGUGCCAUUUCUGAGUGAGACUUCAGAAGCCUCCUGGAUCCUAUUCUGGCCCAUCGUGGCAUGGUCAGCAGAUGAGAAACAGAUGGACUGGUGUGUGGUGGGAGGAAGCUGUCCUGGUCGAGCUCUGCUUCAGGCCAGUCCUUUCUGAGAUUGGAGAAGUGAGAAGAGGAGCAGAGAGACCAGCUGGGAGCUGCUGUAGUAACCCAGGUGAGGGAGAUGGUGGCCUGGACCAGUGCUUGGCAUAGAGGUGGAGAGAAGUGAUAUAACUGAUUUAAGUCAACCAGCUGCUUGAUCCAAAUAAUGCCAAAUGAGUUUAUUGUCAUCUCUUCAUAUUUUACAACCAGAUCACUUCUGCAUAAAGCCACAUGGAAGAAUAAGAAGGGAAAAACAAUCAAGCAAUAAACUGUUCAUCUGAAAAUAGUUAAAUUCUCCAACAGUUGAUUUUAAAAUAUUUUCCUAAAAUCUAUUAAGAUUUUUUUUCAAAGUAAUUCUUCUAUGGAGGCACAUCUCUGGACUGAAACAACCGGCCUUUGCUUUUGGUGUGGUCCUGUUUCAGUCAAAAUGGCUAACAGGCUAUGCAGAAAAUCAAAUUCCAAGUUACUCAAAUGUGGAGAAAAUCUGGAGGUCUGGUAUGGGCAUCUUCUCAAAAUGCUUUAAUUACACAUUGAUUUACAAAUGACAUUGUCUGGUAUGGUAGUUUUAAAAAAAUCAUCAUUUUUAAACAUCUGCCAAAUUUUAAAUGAUAGUUUUUCAUGAAAGUACAAAGAAAACUUCAUCCACAAUCACGAAAUUUUCCAUCUCAUAUAUCCUGAUGAAAACAAAGACUUUCUAUGGACAAUUGUUGAAACACGCCUGACCUUGGACCCUGUGCUAUCUACCCUUCUCAGUGUCAUUCUCUAUCUAGUUUGGCUUUUCCAAAUUUAAUCACUAAGAUAUUCGGACAUUAUUACAAAAUAUUAUUACAAGCCCUUUAAUUACCUUGAUAACAUUACUGGCAAUAUUAAAAACUUUUAGCAGUAUCUUUCAUGGUGUGUGCUUUGCCUGAAAAGGAAAGAUAUCUCUGAUUAAAGUUUGAAACCGUUAAUAAUAUAGAACACCAUACAAAUGACACUUUUCCAAAUUAGAAAUUUUAAGAUCAAAGAUUAUUUACUGGCUUAUAUUUGUAUCUAAUUUUAACAUUUUUAUGUAGAGACGAGGUCUCGCUGUACUGCACAGGCCAAUCGCAAACUCCUGACCUCAAGCUAUCCUCCUGCCUCAAUCUUUUAUUUACUUUUAACGCUAUUCUUUUUGUUCACUUUGUUGAGAUAUCUAGGUGAAAGCCUAAAGGCUAUGUAUUUUAAUUUCAAGGCUGCAUGUUCAUAUCCUCUCAUACCACUAACAUCCUGGCUAAUGUCUUAAUGACUAAUUUUUUCCAGUUUUACCAUGGAAUUGUCUUGAAGUUGGUGCAUAUUUCACAGACUCCAAUCUGAAGUGUGGAUCAUAGCAUUUGUUAGAAACUAGUUGACUUUGACUCUCUUUUAGUCUGAGAUAGAAUCUAAUUGGCCCUGUUAUCUUGAUUUUUAUUGGUCAAAGCUUUCAUUUCAGGCCUCCUAAUAGGAUGCUGACUAGCCAAUGGAUUGUUUGCCUUUGGUCAGGUGUUCACCCUCUGGUCCAAUUAGCUGAGGCCAAAAUAUAGUAGGAAAUUGUAGCCAAAGAAUGGAUAAGGAAUUUCCUAAGGCAGUCUUGCUCAGCAGGUGCUAUGUCAGUUUUUAGAAGUGUUUGUGGUUGUGAUAAUUGUUCUAACGGUUGGCCCAUACUGCGUAUGAUCUAAGGAUCUAAGAAUAAUUUAUUACCAAAGUAGCAAAAGAACUUCUUGUAAAUAACCUCUGACAAAUAUUUUUUAUUGGCGUGUACCCUAAAGAUAGCAGUACAGUGAAGCUCCAGUAACUGAAAAGAUCCUGUAUUGGUAUUAAAAAAUUAAAGUUAAACGCUUAUGUAACUGUCUUACAGAUAAUUUUAGGCAAAGCAGUCUUGAAAUAAGUUCUGCUAAUCAGUUAAAGAAACAGUUGAAUAUUUUUUAAUGGCAAGAGCACUAGUCUUAGAAUCAGGAACCAUGGGUUGGCUCUGAGACUCUCUGUCUCAUCUUGGGGAAAUCAUUUCAGCUUUGUGGCCCCACCCGGUGUUUUCCCGGAGCCCAUAAGAUGAAUGUUGUAAUAGGCUACUUCUACUUCUAAAGCAUCCUUGAUCUGAAAUUUGAGAAACAGAACUGAGAAUCAAAAUGAAAUAAAAGCUUGAAUAGAUAAGUUUGGAGACCAAAAAAAAAAAAAAAGCCAGAGAGAAAUUAAGUUAUUUAUAGAGCAUUCACUAUGAUAUCCCGUGCACUGUACACAUGUUGACUUCUCAUUCUUCAGAGAAAGGCUCUGAGGUUGUAUCCAGUUUACAGUAGAAAACAGGUAAGAUACCUUGCCCCAGUCACACAAAAUGUAAACAAUGGAGUCAACCCAAUUUUAUUUAGCUAAAAGAAUAAUAAAGUGCUUUCCAUCAUACCAAAUUCUUCCUUAAAUGCAGGGAGAAAUAAUGCUUACGGAAAAACAGAGGCAGAUAAAAAUAUAGUAAUGUUUUACAAAGAAAUAACAACAUUUUCACUAAAUGAUGCGGAGCUUGGGUUGAGAAUGCUGAUAUAUGACUCAGAAUGCAAACCUUUUGCAUUGAUUGUUUUCACUUAGAUUUUAUGAAAGCUGUAGGUGUGUGAGUUAAAGAGGAAUGCUUCAGCACUUCCCUGGUCAUGCAUAAACAUCUACAUGCAAAACAGCAAGAAGUGCUCUGUUUAUCGCAGCUGCAGUCAAGCCAACAAAACUGUUUCUACCACUGAGGAUGAAAUUUGUAAAAUUUUCUCUCGAAAAAUAAAAUAAGCCUCUUGUUUGAUUGCC
This 3077-nucleotide long non-coding RNA is filed under the name Pongo abelii (Sumatran orangutan). RNAcentral describes it as "lincRNA". Lineage: Eukaryota; Metazoa; Chordata; Mammalia; Primates; Hominidae. The record is from RNAcentral.